This is a long non-coding RNA of Centropristis striata (black sea bass), 487 nucleotides long. RefSeq lists it as uncharacterized. The record is from RefSeq and is a predicted model, not a curated record. The transcript has 7 exons. Lineage: Eukaryota; Metazoa; Chordata; Actinopteri; Perciformes; Serranidae.
GAGGUCGGACCCGGAAAUCCCUCCCCUUCUUCUGCAGACACAGCCACGAGCAGAGAGCAGCCUAGCUCCUCACCACAUCUUCCAAGACGAAACCAUGUUUAAUCCCAAAUAUGCAGAUGUGCAGAUGAGGAUGGCAAGUCUGAUCUAUGAAUGUUACACUUGAAAAGAUACCACCAUUGGCUACUACACAUGGCCAAAUAUUGGUUAUCACUGUGUGAACCUUAAGCAGGUUCAGAAGUCAUGCUGUUGUCACAGAAGAUGCAGCAGAUGUCAUCUGUUGUGAUCAAGAGAUGAGCAGUUGGAACAGCAGUGAAAUGUGACACACUGGGUGUCUGCUUCAUCUUAAGGAAGGUUACAGGGCCAGUUGACUGACCUGGCAGUCUAUGGAGCGGCCUCAUUUGAAAGGCGUUUAUGGAACUGACGAAUCACCGCUUGGAGGAAGUCUUCAUAAUUAAUAAAGGCUGUCAAGAAAAGUGCCUUGACUUGA